This 198-nucleotide ribosomal RNA is filed under the name uncultured bacterium. Its description in RNAcentral is "partial 16S ribosomal RNA". It matches the Rfam family "Bacterial small subunit ribosomal RNA", at positions 1303 to 1500 of the family's 1533-position model. The record is from RNAcentral.
GUCUGCAACUCGAGUACANGAAGCUGGAAUCGCUAGUAAUCGCAAAUCAGAAUGUUGCGGUGAAUACGUUCCCGGGCCUUGUACACACCGCCCGUCACACCAUGGGAGUUGGAAGCACCCGAAGUCGAUGACCUAACCGCGAGGGAGGAGUCGCCGAAGGUGAAGCCAGUGACUGGGGUGAAGUCGUAACAAGGUACC